RNAcentral lists this unclassified non-coding RNA (231 nucleotides) under plant metagenome. RNAcentral's name for it is "partial contains small subunit ribosomal RNA, internal transcribed spacer 1, and 5.8S ribosomal RNA". The record is from RNAcentral.
UCUCCGUUGGUGAACCAGCGGAGGGAUCAUUACCGAGUGCAAACUCAUAACCCUUUGUGAACCUGUACCUUUACUGUUGCUUCGGCGGGUUAACGCCCCGGAAGGCCCAAAAGGCCGCCGGAACCAGGCGCCCGCCGGGGGACCCAAACUCUUGUAUUUCUUACUUUGCAUGUCUGAGUGGAAUCAUAAACAAAUGAAUCAAAACUUUCAACAACGGAUCUCUUGGUUCUG